Molecule: long non-coding RNA, 571 nt
Filed under: Malus domestica (apple)
Lineage: Eukaryota; Viridiplantae; Streptophyta; Magnoliopsida; Rosales; Rosaceae
Description: long non-coding RNA (MDOM_LNC013985)
Source: RNAcentral
UUGAAUUUCAAACCCAAUGGCUAGUGGCUAGUGACGUGGCAAAAAUCUGGGUUGUCCAAUUCUUAAAUCAACGGUCCAGGUUUUUCGGCAAAAAAACUUUAUAAAACAAAUGUUAGAAUUAUUACCAUUGUCCAAUUUUGGGUUGUUGGAUUUCAAUCUUUUUGAAAUCCAACUGUCUAGAUGAAUUAACUUAAUUAAAAUUAUUAAAAAAAUAUUUAAAAAGACAUAAAAAAGAAAGCGAAUUUUUUUAUUUUUAUUUUCUAUAAAUACCUAUCCAUCUUCUUCCACCUUACAUCACAUUUCAAUAUUUUCAACACUUUGAACCAAAGCUUUCACAAAAAUAGUACUUUCAGAUAAUGACAUGUAACGUGACAAGAUUAGAUAAAAAUCCUAUCUGAAAUUAAAAAUAAAAUUAUUUUUAUUAAUUUAUAAAAAGUUAAUGACAUUUUAAUACAAAUUGACUAGACUUUGGGCCAGCUCAUUUUUUAGGAUGCAUUUGGCCUUACUGUUUAUCGAAGUCAAUUACUAUUCAUUUGGGUGGAUUAAAUGGAUUUUGGGUUAACUCAUUUUU